Molecule: ribosomal RNA, 1370 nt
Filed under: uncultured bacterium
Lineage: Bacteria
Description: bacterial SSU rRNA
Rfam family: Bacterial small subunit ribosomal RNA
Source: RNAcentral
AGAGUUUGAUCCUGGCUCAGAACGAACGCUGGCGGCGUGGAUAAGACAUGCAAGUCGAACGAGAGAAUUGCUAGCUUGCUAAUAAUUCUCUAGUGGCGCACGGGUGAGUAACACGUGAGUAACCUGCCCCCGAGAGCGGGAUAGCCCUGGGAAACUGGGAUUAAUACCGCAUAGUAUCGAAAGAUUAAAGCAGCAAUGCGCUUGGGGAUGGGCUCGCGGCCUAUUAGUUAGUUGGUGAGGUAACGGCUCACCAAGGCGAUGACGGGUAGCCGGUCUGAGAGGAUGUCCGGCCACACUGGAACUGAGACACGGUCCAGACACCUACGGGUGGCAGCAGUCGAGAAUCAUUCACAAUGGGGGAAACCCUGAUGGCGCGACGCCGCGUGGGGGAAUGAAGGUCUUCGGAUUGUAAACCCCUGUCAUGUGGGAGCAAAUUAAAAAGAUAGUACCACAAGAGGAAGAGACGGCUAACUCUGUGCCAGCAGCCGCGGUAAUACAGAGGUCUCAAGCGUUGUUCGGAAUCACUGGGCGUAAAGCGUGCGUAGGCUGUUUCGUAAGUCGUGUGUGAAAGGCGCGGGCUCAACCCGCGGACGGCACAUGAUACUGCGAGACUAGAGUAAUGGAGGGGGAACCGGAAUUCUCGGUGUAGCAGUGAAAUGCGUAGAUAUCGAGAGGAACACUCGUGGCGAAGGCGGGUUCCUGGACAUUAACUGACGCUGAGGCACGAAGGCCAGGGGAGCGAAAGGGAUUAGAUACCCCUGUAGUCCUGGCAGUAAACGGUGCACGCUUGGUGUGCGGGGAAUCGACCCCCUGCGUGCCGGAGCUAACGCGUUAAGCGUGCCGCCUGGGGAGUACGGUCGCAAGAUUAAAACUCAAAGAAAUUGACGGGGACCCGCACAAGCGGUGGAGUAUGUGGCUUAAUUCGAUGCAACGCGAAGAACCUUACCUGGGCUUGACAUGUAAUGAACAACAUGUGAAAGCAUGCGACUCUUCGGAGGCGUUACACAGGUGCUGCAUGGCCGUCGUCAGCUCGUGUCGUGAGAUGUUUGGUUAAGUCCAGCAACGAGCGCAACCCCUGUUGCCAGUUACCAGCACGUGAAGGUGGGGACUCUGGCGAGACUGCCCAGAUCAACUGGGAGGAAGGUGGGGACGACGUCAGGUCAGUAUGGCCCUUAUGCCCAGGGCUGCACACGUACUACAAUGCCCAGUACAGAGGGGGCCGAAGCCGCGAGGCGGAGGAAAUCCUGAAAACUGGGCCCAGUUCGGACUGUAGGCUGCAACCCGCCUACACGAAGCCGGAAUCGCUAGUAAUGGCGCAUCAGCUACGGCGCCGUGAAUACGUUCCCGGGUCUUGCACACACCGCCCGUCA